Molecule: long non-coding RNA, 177 nt
Organism: Sinocyclocheilus grahami
Lineage: Eukaryota; Metazoa; Chordata; Actinopteri; Cypriniformes; Cyprinidae
Exons: 3
Source: RefSeq, a predicted model, not a curated record
GGAAGGCAAUAAAAAAAAACUAAAGAACGGGAAUGCUGCUCGAAUCCUUCGGCAAAGGCAGAGAAUGAAAGCAUGCAAUAUGACACAAUGCGCUACGCAUUGAAAAAGGAGAUCUUUGGUUCAAGUGGUAAACCUGGAACGGUAGACAAGCUCAACAUUGUCAUUUUGGCAAAGAGC